UACGGAGGGUGCAAGCGUUAUCCGGAUUUACUGGGUUUAAAGGGUGUGUAGGCGGACUUUUAAGUCCGUGGUGAAAUCUCCGGGCUCAACCCGGAAACUGCCAUGGAUACUAUAGGUCUUGAAUGUUGUUGAGGUGGGCGGAACGGGUCAUGUAGCGGUGAAAUGCAUAGAUAUGACCCGGAACACCGAUUGCGAAGGCAGCCCACUAAGCAAUGAUUGACGCUGAGGCACGAAAGCGUGGGGAUCAAACAGG
RNAcentral lists this ribosomal RNA (253 nucleotides) under uncultured bacterium. Its description in RNAcentral is "partial 16S ribosomal RNA". It matches the Rfam family "Bacterial small subunit ribosomal RNA", at positions 524 to 776 of the family's 1533-position model. The record is from RNAcentral.